AGAACGAACGCUGGCGGCAUGCCUAAUACAUGCAAGUCGAACGAACUCUUCGGAGUUAGUGGCGCACGGGUGCGUAACGCGUGGGAAUCUGCCCCUUGGUUCGGAAUAACAGUUGGAAACGACUGCUAAUACCGGAUGAUGACGAAAGUCCAAAGAUUUAUCGCCAAGGGAUGAGCCCGCGUAGGAUUAGCUAGUUGGUGAGGUAAAGGCUCACCAAGGCGACGAUCCUUAGCUGGUCUGAGAGGAUGAUCAGCCACACUGGGACUGAGACACGGCCCAGACCUCGACGGGNG
This 293-nucleotide ribosomal RNA is filed under the name uncultured soil bacterium. RNAcentral's name for it is "partial 16S ribosomal RNA". It matches the Rfam family "Bacterial small subunit ribosomal RNA", at positions 26 to 347 of the family's 1533-position model. The record is from RNAcentral.